Molecule: non-coding RNA, 5057 nt
Organism: Cricetulus griseus (Chinese hamster)
Lineage: Eukaryota; Metazoa; Chordata; Mammalia; Rodentia; Cricetidae
Source: RefSeq, a predicted model, not a curated record
ACCCCUCCCUUUCUCUUUCAACUUCAUGACCUCUUUUCUUUUGUUUUUAUACACAUACAUACACACAUAUGUAUGUAUGUAUACAAAUGUAUGCAUGCAUUCCUAAAUAUAUAAAGACAAUUUGCUUAGCCCAUAUAAUGCUACUUGAAUGAACACAUUCAGGCUGUCCAUUUUCUAUUAGAUAACCAGUUGGUAUGCUCUUUUAGAAAACCACAACUGAACAAACACAGAGUUGUAGUGUCCAGCCCCAAAUGACACAUCUACAACACAAUUUCUUCACCUAGGGCUCAGGGAUCACUGUGCAACAGAGGAUGAAAAGAUUCUAAGAUCCAGGGGACCAGGGAGUUUGCUGUGAGAUUGUGUCUUCCAGGAUUGUUAGAGGAACAUCUUUAUAAAUGUCCUCAGUUGCAGGCCUGUACAAUGUUGUAGGACUGAGAUUUUAAAAUCCAGUUGUUAGUAAGAAACACGCUUAAUCAUUGGUAUAAGUACUGGAUCUGUGAUACACGACAAAAGCAACAGAGUAUUGAUUAAAGUAAUGAUCAUUCUUUAAUGCCCUCCUUUAAGGAAAUUAUCUUUCUAGUUGCAGAAAGCAACUUUGAACAAGUAACUGGACUUUUUUCAGUUUUUUUCUCCCCAGUAGCUGUGCUAUUAACAAAGUCAUCUGUUUGCCUUGCUUCCUAUUGAGUGAUAUUUGCUAGGUCUGUUCCUUGGCUGUAUCUUGGACUUCACAGCCCCAUUAGUUCAUGAUGUUCUAUCUUCUCAAAUGUGGCUAUUAUCAGGGUCUUAUUGAGAUCCAAGCCAGUUUUUAUUCCUCCACAUUGAUUUGUUACGUGCAGGCUCCUCAGAGUACCCUAAUUCCCAUGAAGCAACUCAAUUUCCUGUAGGAAUGGCUCAAACCUUGGUUACCAUGACUUCUGUGAUCUUGGGCAUUUCUUUCUUCCUUUUCUCCCCUCCUCUCUCUAAGUGUGAUAGCUUUUGGUACUUACAUAGUCUUGUAGUAAAUUAUAUUUAUGUAACAUGUGCUUCCUUGAGGCAAGACAGCAACAGAUGAGCCUUCCUGAUUUUUUUCUCUCCAGCAUCUUUUCAUAUAUUCCCCCUUACAUCCUUCAAAGAAAAACUUGGAUGCCUUUCCUGCAUUUUCUUUUGUCCACACAUGUGUCAGAGAGCCAUUCAGUCUCUACCUCUUCAAUGUUGGGUACUUUUGGUCCAGGGAACCCAUUACAGUCCUGCAUUCCUUGCUAGGGAUUAUUUUAAGCACUUACACAUAAUAUUGGGAAGAGCCUGCUGAGAAGGUUUUUCAUUACUGGGAACUACUCCUUCUCCUUUUAGGUGUUCCUAUGUGUUGAUUUUUGUGCUGUGUCUACUGAAGGCAUAUUUGGCUGUGUUAAACCUUAGCACCAAUCUGGUGAAUUCAAAAAGGAGAGUGGUGAGGUGGCUUGAACAGCUUUCUGGUGGCAGAUUCAGCAGCUACUGAACCCAACUUAUAAUAUUGAGCUUCUGGAAUCUUAUUUAAAGUAUUCAUCCUUGCGCUUUGAACCCCCACUGAAUUGUGUUUCCAUUUCUUGCUGGAAAGCCUGGCUGAGUGUGUGCCUGCCCUGUAUCAGUUAGAAGAAUCACACAAGUUUUUUUAAACUCUUGUUUUCUUGCCAAGUAUAUUGGGGAGAUUAAAUAGCACAGUAAAAUGAACAUUUAUUGAGCCUAUUAUUUUCAGCCUUUUGCUAAAUGCUUCAUAUUUAGAAGCCCCCAUUACUGCUGACAUCUAGUCUGUGAGAAACGUUGGUUUUUCACCUAAUCCUGACUUUGAAAUGUGUUUGGUGUCAAGGAGAAAAAAAAUCAUGUGAUAGGAUCCUCAUUUUGAGAAGAAUGUUGGUAGCAAAAGCUUCUGUAAUUCCAUUUGGCUUGUGAUAAGGCAUAGGGGAGUACUAUUUUUAAUUAUCUGACCAGGCUGACAGAGUAUGAAAUGAUGGUGAUUGAAGAAUAAGGUUGCAAAGUGUAGAUGAUCAACCUUGAAGGGCCUGAAAAAUAUGCAAAUUAGAUAUGACCUGAUGGAAGUUAAGCUAGGAAACCAUGAGGGUUUUCCCCCAUUUUUUUGCCAAGGAGAAGAAAAAGACCAAACAUCCAUGCCUUAAUUAGAAAGCUGUUGCAGCGAAAACUGGAGAGGAAAGUCUAAAUUAAAACUGCAAUCAAUUCCCACAUAUUCAAAUAUUAUUUUUCUUUUUUUUUCCUUUCCCCCUUUUCUCCUUAAAAACUCACUGCUACAAAAACCACCUGCUGAUGUUGCUUGCUGUCUGCCUUAGCCUGAUCCAGAGGCAGCCUGCCCCCAUCUGGGGUUAUAAAUCUCCUUUGUGCUAAGAUUUUGGUGUCUGGGAGGGAUUGAAUUCAGGUCAUGAAGCUUGAUGACAAGCACCUUUACCUGACAAGUAAUUGAGGAUGACAUAUAGAGCCACACAUGGCCACAUACUACCAGUCAACAUGUGUGAGUAUUGAAGACAACUGCAUGGAAAUGACCCAUGUACAAUUGAUUUGACCAAUGGUUAAAAAGGCUAUAUAGAAUACCCAAAGAGUACCUAAUUAAAAGUUUCCCUAAUCGGCAUUGUUAACACACUUCUAAAGAUGUUUUAUCUGUUUAAAAUGUAUGGAAGUAUGAAAAAUACACUGGCUAUAGUUUAUGUAAGAAUCAUUUCUAGUAAAUUGACAUUUUCCUAGUGAAGGAUUAAUGACCUAAAAGCCUCAGUUGAACUAAGAAGUUCUGUAUGAGAAAUUUGACUUAACUGAUUUCAUAUGUUUCUGAUAAGCACAUUGGCAUCCCUCUUUAGGUAGGAUCUAUCACUUUGAGGCUGCAGGGGAACUGAUUUGCUGGUAGAAUCAUCUAAAAGACUUCUUUCUAUCCUAUAAAAUCUCAAAGCACAUCCACUCUCACAUACCAUGUGUGUACAAUUUAUAUUUCCAAGGAGAAAUCAGUUUAUCUGAUUAAAACAGCAAUGAAUGCUUCUUAGAACUCAGGGUAGCAUUCAUUGUCUAGGGAAAGUUUUGCAAAUAGUGGGUACAUCUACUUGAAUUAAAUAUCAAGGUAGUCUCUGAUGGCAUGACCAGAAGCCUAUCUCCUAUGCGAUUCUAUAUUGUGUUAUGUUUUCAAUUAACGCUUUCCAUCACAUUAGAUUCUGAAGUAAGAAACAGGAUUCUUUUAGUGCUUGAUUUAAGUCCAACUGUAAGGGACUUAAAUCAUGAGUCAAAAUUGCUGUUUGCAUUGCUAUGUUUAUUGGAGUCUGGUCAGGUUUUAUUUUGGUUUAAUAUAGAGGCUUUAGCUCAAUGGCUCAGUACUUGUCUCACCUCUGUCUUCUUUAAGUACAGGUAGGUAUCCUUCUGCUUACAGUGUAACUCCAGUCAAAAUAAGGAUAUGUUCUUCUUGGGAAUUUUGAGCAAUCAAUGCUUGUGCAUUCCCACACUACCGAAAAGAAAUUAUUGAACUUUUAUUACUUCCCUUUGCACCUGUCCAUGCCUGUGAAAUGUAAUGAAAAAAAUCUCAACCACUGUAGCAUAAUCUACCUUACUUGGUCCUGAAUUAUUCAUUUGGAUGAGGGGUUAUCAUCUCAGUUUCUGUUUAAUUUUUCAGCUAUAGGCUUUCUCUGUACUAAUAGUUCCAUGUUUCCAGAGUAAAAUAUGUGGACCUGAUUGGAUGAUGUCCAGCAUUACCCCCUCAAUUCCAGAGCUGUGCAUAUUGCCACUGGCCCACAUUCCUAGUGCUAACCUGAAUUUCAUCAUCUGAGAUUUAGGGCACAUUUAGGAUGGUUUGGGAUGCUUGGGUGACUGAGUGAGUAGCCUUCUUCUAAUUCAUGCUCUGUUGGCCCACAGACCUCUGACAGCCAAGUCUGCUCUGUUUAAUUUGCCACAUUGCUUGCACCAAGAAGUUUACCUUUUAAGAAACUGCAGUGGAAAACUUCCAGGACAUCUGCCAUUCUAAUUUAUACUUUAGAGGAUAAGGCUGCUUAGAAAGGCCAUGGAAAUGACCAAAUUUAUUCCCAUUUAUUCAAUUUUAAUAUCUCUUUCAGGAAAGUAGGCUAGUUGCUAAGAAUUUUGAGGAUUCACCCUCUUUCACAGAGCUUUAAGUGCUGCCCUUAAAAUCAGCAACUUGAAAGGAGCACUUCAAAAGAGUCUGCAAUAUCUCUUAAACCUUUUUUUUUUAACCUAGCAAAGUAAGUCAAAGAAUUGCGAAGAUGCUGUUCUGUUCUGAAGGCUUGGUCUUCCCUGCAUUUCAGGAGCCAUUACAGAGAAAGAUGGGAAGCCUUCCACUGGUUCUUGAACUUUUCCUAAUCCAUCCUAUGCUGUUUAAGAUGACAGCCAUCUUUCUGCUAAAAGCAAGUGACUAUUUCUUACCCUCCUUUGUAUGUUGUGAGGCUUACUUUCCAAGCCCAUAAAACUGGAAUAAGUUAGUCCCUGUAGAACAUAGAAUUAAUAUCAUUAGGCCAAUUAUCUCUUAAUAAAUGUAAUGAAGAAGCAAUUGAAAAAAGUAUUAAAUAUAACUACCUUCCUAAACUUACCAGUAGAUCCUGAAGAGUUAAUUAUUUCGCAGAGAGGGAAGAAAAUAAAUUUAUUUGUUGACAGUGACUGCUACAAAUCCCUUGACAGGAGUUUUCACAAGAACAUUCAUGUGUUACUUGCACAACAAUACUAUAAUAUAUGUGGAAUUAUUCCUAUGUCUAUGGAACAUAAUGGAAUUUCAAAUGAGAUUAUGAAACUCAGUGCCAAUAUAUUAAAAAAUGAUUAUAAGUAUGCAUAUUGAACUCUGAAGCUGAUCUUUCUUCCUCAUGUUCAGUGGUAAUCUGGAGUUUUAUUUUGUGAAAUCCUUUGUCAACCAUUGUAAUAACAUUUAUUGAAUAUUUACACUGAAUCAGGCUUUAUGCCAAGCAUUCGACAUAACUAUUUUAUUUGAUUUUCAUAACAAACAAAAUUUGUUCCUGAGAUGAAGAUAUAGAAUCCCAGUAAGAGGCACAGUCUCUAUCUUUUAUUUAUUCCAUGCUCAGAGAUUAUUAAAAAAUAAAAUAUGAAUCUGAUCAUGC